CAUUUCAUACUAACUGUCUAUUACUUUCUAUUAAUCCCGAAUAACAAAAGCUGAGGUGGCAUGACCUCCUUUUUUUGAAAUUUUUUUUAAUUUUUUUAUUUUUUAAAUUCCACAUAAUUCUCUACAUUCUAUAUUUCAUACUAACUAUUUUUUUAGCAAUUAAUUUUCUAAAUUUGGAAACUUUUCUGAUUUUUUUAUUUUUUAAAUUCCAUAUAACCCUCUACAUUCUACAUUUCAUACUAACUGUUAUUUUAGCAAUUAAUUUUCUAAAUUUGGAAACGGUUUUUCAUAAUUGCAAUUGAUAAAUUAUUAUAAACUAUAAUAAUUAAUUGUCAAAUUUAUUACUUUUUAUUAAUUCCACAUAACCCUCUAUAUUCUACAUUUUAUCUAUUACUUUCCAUUAAUCCCCAAUAACAAUAGCUGAGGUGGCAUGACCUCCUUUUUUUUGAAAUUUUUUCUGAUUUUUUUAUUUUUUAAAUUCCACAUAACCUUCUACAUUCUACAUUUCAUACUAACUGUCUAUUACUUUCUAUUAAUCCCCAAUAACAACAGCUGAGGUGGCAUGAUUUCCUUUUAUUGGAAUUUUUUUUAAUUUUUUUAUUUUUUAAAUUCCACAUAAUCCUCUGCAUUCUAUAUUUCAUACUAACUAUUUUUUUAGCAAUUAAUUUUCUAAAGUUGGAAACUUUUCUGAUUUUUUUAUUUUUUAAAUUCCAUAUAACCAUCUACAUUCUACAUUUCAUACUAACUGUUAUUUUAGCAAUUAAUUUUCUAAAUUUGGAAACGGUUCUUCAUAAUUGCAAUUGAUAAAUUAUUAUAAACUAUAAUAAUUAAUUGUCAAAUUUAUUACUUUUUAUUAAUUCCACAUAACCCUCUACAUUCUACAUUUCAUCUAUCUAUUACUUUCCAUUAAUCCCCAAUAACAAUAGCUGAGGUGGCAUGACCUCCUUUUUUUGAAAUUUUUUCUGAUUUUUUUAUUUUUUAAAUUCCACAUAACCCUCUACAUUCUACAUUUCAUACUAACUGUCUAUUACUUUCUAUUAAUCCCCAAUAACAAAAAGCUGAGGUGGCAUGACCUCCUUUUCUUGGAAUUUUUUUUUAAUUUUUUUAUUUUUUAAAUUCCACAUAAUCCUCUACAUUCUAUAUUUCAUACUAACUAUUUUUUUAGCAAUUAAUUUUCUAAAUUUGGAAACUUUUCUGAUUUUUUUAUUUUUUAAAUUCCAUAUAACCCUCUACAUUCUACAUUUCAUACUAACUGUUAUUUUAGCAAUUAAUUUUCUAAAUUUGGAAACGGUUUUUCAUAAUUGCAAUUGAUAAAUUAUUAUAAACUAUAAUAAUUAAUUGUCAAAUUUAUUACUUUUUAUUAAUUCCACAUAACCCUUUACAUUCUACAUUUCAUACUAACCUUUUUUUAGCAAUUAAUUUUCUAAAUUAGGAAACGGUUCUUCAUAAUUGUAAUUGAUAAAUUAUUAUAAACUAUAAUAAUUAAUUGUCUAAUAAACUAUAAUAAUUUCUAUUAAUUUUUAAAUUUUUUCAUUAAUAAAAUUCAAAAAUUAAAAAAAUGCCUCCAA
This 1568-nucleotide long non-coding RNA is filed under the name Ananas comosus (pineapple). RNAcentral's name for it is "long non-coding RNA (ACOM_LNC032532)". The record is from RNAcentral. Lineage: Eukaryota; Viridiplantae; Streptophyta; Magnoliopsida; Poales; Bromeliaceae.